Molecule: ribosomal RNA, 472 nt
Filed under: uncultured Thauera sp.
Lineage: Bacteria; Pseudomonadati; Pseudomonadota; Betaproteobacteria; Rhodocyclales; Zoogloeaceae
Description: bacterial SSU rRNA
Rfam family: Bacterial small subunit ribosomal RNA
Source: RNAcentral
AGACGGGGACCCGCACAAGCGGUGGAUGAUGUGGAUUAAUUCGAUGCAACGCGAAAAACCUUUACCUACCCUUGACAUGUCUGGAACCUUGCUGAGAGGCGAGGGUGCCUUCGGGAGCCAGAACACAGGUGCUGCAUGGCUGUCGUCAGCUCGUGUCGUGAGAUGUUGGGUUAAGUCCCGCAACGAGCGCAACCCUUGUCAUUAGUUGCCAUCAUUUAGUUGGGCACUCUAAUGAGACUGCCGGUGACAAACCGGAGGAAGGUGGGGAUGACGUCAAGUCCUCAUGGCCCUUAUGGGUAGGGCUUCACACGUCAUACAAUGGUCGGUACAGAGGGUCGCCAGCCAGCGAUGGUGAGACUAAUCCCAAAAAACCGGCCUCAGUACAGAUAGAAGUCUGCAACUCGACUUCUUGAAGUCGGAAUCGCUAGUAAUCGCUAAUCAGCAGGUAGCGGUGAAUACGUUCCCGGGCCUU